UGGGGAAUAUUGCACAAUGGAGGGAACUCUGACGCAGCGACGCCGCGUGAACGAAGAAGGCUUUCGAGUCGUAAAGUUCUUUUAUAUGGGAAGAUAAUGACGGUACCAUAAGAAAAAGCCCCGGCUAACUACGUGCCAGCAGCCGCGGUAAUACGUAGGGGGCUAGCGUUGUCCGGAAUCACUGGGCGUAAAGGGUUCGCAGGCGGAAAUGCAAGUCAGGUGUAAAAGGCAGUAGCUUAACUACUGUAAGCAUUUGAAACUGCAUAUCUUGAGAAGAGUAGAGGUAAGUGGAAUUUUUAGUGUAGCGGUGAAAUGCGUAGAUAUUAAAAAGAAUACCGGUGGCGAAGGCGACUUACUGGGCUCAUUCUGACGCUGAGGAACGAAAGCGUGGGUAGCAAACAGG
RNAcentral lists this ribosomal RNA (403 nucleotides) under bacterium. RNAcentral describes it as "partial 16S ribosomal RNA". It matches the Rfam family "Bacterial small subunit ribosomal RNA", at positions 355 to 776 of the family's 1533-position model. The record is from RNAcentral.